RNAcentral lists this ribosomal RNA (244 nucleotides) under uncultured Staphylococcus sp. RNAcentral describes it as "partial 16S ribosomal RNA". It matches the Rfam family "Bacterial small subunit ribosomal RNA", at positions 96 to 334 of the family's 1533-position model. Lineage: Bacteria; Bacillati; Bacillota; Bacilli; Caryophanales; Staphylococcaceae. The record is from RNAcentral.
CGGCGGACGGGUGAGUAACACGUGGAUAACCUACCUAUAAGACUGGGAUAACUUCGGGAAACCGGAGUUAAUACCGGAUAGUAUAUUGAACCGCAUGGUUCAAUAGUGAAAGACGGUUUUGCUGUCACUUAUAGAUGGAUCCGCGCCGCAUUAGCUAGUUGGUAAGGUAACGGCUUACCAAGGCAACGAUGCGUAGCCGACCUGAGAGGGUGAUCGGCCACACUGGAACUGAGACACGGUCCAG